AGUCUAAUUUACCCAUAAAAUUUCAAGAACUUAGAGGUAUAAAUGCUCAAAAAAGAACUUUGAGUUAUAUUUAGCAAGACUAAAAUUACGAAAUCCACAUUUACGUGAUAAUUUGAGGACGAUAAUCAGUACCAAAGGAUGUAGAGAAAAAAUUUAAGAUACAGAAAAAUGGUGAAAGGGUUUCAUAAGGUUGAUUUUCAUGAUGGCCUAUUUUCAUCGUUCUGGUUUGAUAAAUGGCAGAGUCUUGGAAGGAUUCAUGAGAUCACCCGUAGAAGAGGAUAUAUUGAUUUCUUGAAUCCCAUCAAACACAA
Molecule: long non-coding RNA, 311 nt
Filed under: Brassica napus (rape)
Lineage: Eukaryota; Viridiplantae; Streptophyta; Magnoliopsida; Brassicales; Brassicaceae
Description: long non-coding RNA (BNAP_LNC027175)
Source: RNAcentral